This 471-nucleotide ribosomal RNA is filed under the name uncultured Bacteroidota bacterium. RNAcentral describes it as "uncultured Bacteroidetes bacterium partial 16S ribosomal RNA". The record is from RNAcentral. Lineage: Bacteria; Pseudomonadati; Bacteroidota.
UGAGUUUGAUCAUGAAUCAGAAAGAACGCWAGCGGCARGCUUAAUACAUGCAAGUMGAGGGGCAGCAGYUUUAUAKCAAUAUUGAGGCUGGSGMCCGGCAAAMGGGWGCRGAACACGUACMCAACCUUCCUUGAAUAGGGGGAUAGCCCSUAGAAAAGKGGAUUAAUACCCCGUAAUAUAUCGGUGWGGCAUCACAYUGUUAUUAUAGUUUCRRCGAUUCGAGAUGGGUGUGCGGCUGAUUAGGUAGUUGGCGGRGUAAAGGCCCACCAAGCCUUCGAUCAGUAGCUGAUGUGAGAGCAUGAUCARCCACACGGGCACUGAGACACGGGCCCGACUCCUACGGGAGGCAGCAGUAAGGAAUAUUGGUCAAUGGACGCAAGUYUGAACCAGCCAUGCCGCGUGAAGGAUGAAGGUCCUCKGGAUUGUAAACUUCUUUUAUAGGGGGCGAAAAAAGGUCUUUCUAGAUCACUU